This 301-nucleotide ribosomal RNA is filed under the name uncultured bacterium. RNAcentral describes it as "partial 16S ribosomal RNA". It matches the Rfam family "Bacterial small subunit ribosomal RNA", at positions 509 to 809 of the family's 1533-position model. The record is from RNAcentral.
CAGUCGCCGCGGUAAUACGUAGGGUGCAAGCGUUAAUCGGAAUUACUGGGCGUAAAGCGUGCGCAGGCGGUUUGUUAAGACAGAUGUGAAAUCCCCGGGCUCAACCUGGGAACUGCAUUUGUGACUGGCAAGCUAGAGUGUGGCAGAGGGGGGUGGAAUUCCGCGUGUAGCAGUGAAAUGCGUAGAUAUGCGGAGGAACACCGAUGGCGAAGGCAGCCCCCUGGGCCAACACUGACGCUCAUGCACGAAAGCGUGGGGAGCAAACAGGAUUAGAUACCCCGGUAGUCCCUGUCUCUUAUAA